Molecule: ribosomal RNA, 446 nt
Filed under: uncultured bacterium
Lineage: Bacteria
Description: partial 16S ribosomal RNA
Rfam family: Bacterial small subunit ribosomal RNA
Source: RNAcentral
ACCAGACUCCUACGGGAGGCAGCAGUGGGGAAUAUUGCACAAUGGGGGAAACCCUGAUGCAGCGACGCCGCGUGAGCGAUGAAGUAUUUCGGUAUGUAAAGCUCUAUCAGCAGGGAAGAAAAUGACGGUACCUGACUAAGAAGCCCCGGCUAACUACGUGCCAGCAGCCGCGGUAAUACGUAGGGGGCAAGCGUUAUCCGGAUUUACUGGGUGUAAAGGGAGCGUAGACGGCGGUGCAAGCCAGAUGUGAAAGCCCGGGGCUCAACCCCGGGACUGCAUUUGGAACUGUGCUGCUAGAGUGCCGGAGAGGCAGGCGGAAUUCCUAGUGUAGCGGUGAAAUGCGUAGAUAUUAGGAGGAACACCAGUGGCGAAGGCGGCCUGCUGGACGAUGACUGACGUUGAGGCUCGAAAGCGUGGGGAGCGAACAGGAUUAGAUACCCUGGUAA